RNAcentral lists this ribosomal RNA (253 nucleotides) under uncultured bacterium. RNAcentral describes it as "partial 16S ribosomal RNA". It matches the Rfam family "Bacterial small subunit ribosomal RNA", at positions 524 to 776 of the family's 1533-position model. The record is from RNAcentral.
UACGUAGGGGGCAAGCGUUGUCCGGAAUCAUUGGGCGUAAAGAGCGUGUAGGCGGCUCGGCAAGUCCGCUCUGAAAGCCCGGGGCUCAACCCCGGGAGGCGGGCGGAUACUGUCGGGCUAGAGGCCGGAAGAGGCGAGUGGAAUUCCUGGUGUAGCGGUGAAAUGCGCAGAUAUCAGGAGGAACACCAAUGGCGAAGGCAGCUCGCUGGGACGGUACUGACGCUGAGACGCGAAAGCGUGGGGAGCAAACAGG